AUUGAACGCUGGCGGAAUGCUUUACACAUGCAAGUCGAACGGCAGCACGGACUUCGGUCUGGUGGCGAGUGGCGAACGGGUGAGUAAUGUAUCGGAACGUGCCCAGUCGUGGGGGAUAACGUAGUGAAAAUUACGCUAAUACCGCAUACGAUCUAUGGAUGAAAGCGGGGGAUCGCAAGACCUCGCGCGAUUGGAGCGGCCGAUAUCAGAUUAGGUAGUUGGUGGGGUAAAGGCCCACCAAGCCAACGAUCUGUAGCUGGUCUGAGAGGACGGCCAGACACACGGGAACUGAGACACGGUCCAGACUCCUACGGGAGGCAGCAGUGGGGAAUUUUGGACAAUGGGCGAAAGCCUGAUCCAGCCAUUCCGCGUGCAGGAUGAAGGCCCUCGGGUUGUAAACUGCUUUUGUACAGAACGAAAAGGUUUCUACUAAUACUAGGAGCUCAUGACGGUACUGUAAGAAUAAGCACCGGCUAACUACGUGCCAGCAGCCGCCGUAA
Molecule: ribosomal RNA, 500 nt
Filed under: uncultured bacterium
Lineage: Bacteria
Description: partial 16S ribosomal RNA
Rfam family: Bacterial small subunit ribosomal RNA
Source: RNAcentral